Molecule: long non-coding RNA, 1614 nt
Organism: Salvelinus namaycush (lake trout)
Lineage: Eukaryota; Metazoa; Chordata; Actinopteri; Salmoniformes; Salmonidae
Exons: 2
Source: RefSeq, a predicted model, not a curated record
UAUAAUAUGAGGUGUGUAGUAUAAUAUGAGGUGUGGAGUUAUACAGUAUAAUAUGAGGUGUGUAGUUAUACAGUAUAAUAUGAGGUGUGUAGUUAUACAGUAUAAUAUGAGGUGUGUAGUUAUACAGUAUAAUAUGAGGUGUGGAGUUAUACAGUAUAAUAUGAGGUGUGUAGUUAUACAGUAUAAUAUGAGGUGUGUAGUUAUACAGUAUAAUAUGAGGUGUGGAGUUACACAGUAUAAUAUGAGGUGUGUAGUUAUACAGUAUAAUAUGAGGUGUGGAGUUACACUAUAUAGAUAUUAUAAUGUAUAACUACACACCUUGCAGGUUGGCAGGUCUGAAUAUGUACACAUUUUGAAGUCCAAGUACACUGGUGCAAUAUCAACCUUGACAACCAAUCACCUUUUCAUAUUUCUCCAUUUGGCCACCAGGACCUGUUUGACAACCAAUCACCUUUUCAUAUUUCACCAGGACCUGUUUGACAACCAAUCACCUUUUCAUAUUUCACCAGGACCUGUUUGACAACCAAUCACCUUUUCAUAUUUCACCAGGACCUGUUUGACCGUCUGCUGGCAGCUCUGGAUCACUUCCAUCAACGCAUACAGAUCCACGUCGUCGAGGGCAACAACGACAUCGUCAAGAUGACAGCUAACUUCUAACCCAGUCUAGUUGACUUCUCUCCAUCCCUGUCAUUAGUUUAGUUCUGCUAACUUCUAACCCAGUCUAGUUGACUUCUCUCCAUCCCUGUCAUUAGUUUAGUUCUGCUAACUUCUAACCCAGUCUAGUUGACUUCUCUCCAUCCCUGUCAUUAGUUUAGUUCUGCUAACUUCUAACCCAGUCUAGUUGACUUCUCUCCAUCCCUGUCAUUAGUUUAGUUCUGCUAACUUCUAACCCAGUCUAGUUGACUUCUCUCCAUCCCUGUCAUUAGUUUAGUUCAGCUAACUUCUAACCCAGUCUAGUUGACUUCUCUCCAUCCCUGUCAUUAGUUUAGUUCUGCUAACUUCUAACCCAGUCUAGUUGACUUCUCCACAUCCCUGUCAUUAGUUUAGUUCUGCUAACUUCUAACCCAGUCUAGUUGACUUCUCUCCAUCCCUGUCAUUAGUUUAGUUCUGCUAACUUCUAACCCAGUCUAGUUGACUUCUCUCCAUCCCUGUCAUUAGUUUAGUUCUGCUAACUUCUAACCCAGUCUAGUUGACUUCUCUCCAUCCCUGUCAUUAGUUUAGUUCUGCUAACUUCUAACCCAGUCUAGUUGACUUCUCCACAUCCCUGUCAUUAGUUUAGUUCUGCUAACUUCUAACCCAGUCUAGUUGACUUCUCCACAUCCCUGUCAUUAGUUUAGUUCUGCUAACUUCUAACCCAGUCUAGUUGACUUCUCUCCAUCCCUGUCAUUAGUUUAGUUCUGCUAACUUCUAACCCAGUCUAGUUGACUUCUCUCCAUCCCUGUCAUUAGUUUAGUUCUGCUAACUUCUAACCCAGUCUAGUUGACUUCUCUCCAUCCCUGUCAUUAGUUUAGUUCUGCUAACUUCUAACCCAGUCUAGUUGACUUCUCUCCAUGUCUUAUUUUGGUAACAUACAAACAUGCAACUUUUAUUUGUGAAUAAAAAUAUCUCUCCUCA